AGCAGCGGCGGCAGCGGCCGCGUGGUCGAAGGGAAGGGGCGCCUAGGGUUCCUCCUUCCCCAACCCCAACCAGCUCUGCAGGAACCGACGCCCCAAGCUCGCCAACGAGAUCUUGCUCUCACCGUCAACACCAGAAAAAGCUUCAACCCGAGAUGACCUUGGAGGAGCAGCGGAAAGCAAUACUUGCGCUAAAGACUGAGAAGAGAAAACUAGUUGGAUCUAAAGAAAAUUCAGUGUACAAAUGCUAAAUGUAAUGUUUGGAUCAUAUUGGGGUUUACUGAUUGGAUCAUAUGUUCAGAUCAGUACUAAACGUGGUACUGUACUUUGCAAAUGCUAGAGUGGUAUUUCCUACUUGCAAAACAAAAUUCAGUUUAGCAUGU
This 380-nucleotide ribosomal RNA is filed under the name Triticum aestivum (bread wheat). RNAcentral describes it as "partial small subunit ribosomal RNA". Lineage: Eukaryota; Viridiplantae; Streptophyta; Magnoliopsida; Poales; Poaceae. The record is from RNAcentral.